Molecule: non-coding RNA, 81 nt
Organism: Podarcis lilfordi (Lilford's wall lizard)
Lineage: Eukaryota; Metazoa; Chordata; Lepidosauria; Squamata; Lacertidae
Source: the annotation of a GenBank genome assembly
ACCCUCAUAGCUCACAUGGUAGAGCAUGAGACUCUUAUUCCCAGGGUUGUGGGUUCAAGCCCCAUGUUGCAGGGGGGGGUG